This is a long non-coding RNA of Astatotilapia calliptera (eastern happy), 4508 nucleotides long. The record is from Ensembl. NCBI's taxonomy places the organism in Eukaryota, Metazoa, Chordata, Actinopteri, Cichliformes, Cichlidae.
CAGCGUUUUACCUUUUGCUAAAGGAUGUGAGUGUGACCCACCUGAUUUUUCAGGACAGUCCCACUCAUUCUUAACUUUAGCUGAAUCCUUACAUUCUCUCUAAACAUUAAAACAUAUUAUUUAUUCUGUUUUUAGAUUCCCCAUUGUCUUCAUGCAGGGAAUUGUUUCUAUUCAUGCACAACAGGUCGUGCGAUCUCUGUUGGUGGCUGCUGUGUGUCAUGAUUAAGCAGCAAACGAACGCCCCGGUUUGGCUCAGUGUGCCAGCGUAAUUGAGUGCUACUUUAAUGCGUUUGGGUCAAACGCACGGAAAAUGGUGGGAAUUCUGUGGGAAAGUUUGAGCACUCAUAAAAUGAUGGAUUUUUAAGCACUCCCUUUAUUCCAACAAAAUGUAAUGAAACAGCCCAAUGUGUUUUUUUUUAUUAAUGGCAUGGAAAAAAAAUAUAUAGGAAACAUGUAGGGCUCCCUGCUUGGUGCUCCGUGCUGUGUGUCUCAGUCUGAUUUAGUUUAUACAAGCAUUUGUUAAGCAGUCAGGCGUGUAUGUGUCCGGACUUGUGUGUCACUGUUACACUAAUGCCAAGCUCCCUGCCAUGUUUUUCUUUUCUACAAACAUAAAAGAAUCAAACACCUACAGCUUCCAUAGUUGCCUCUGCGAUCCACUCUUUACUGUUCUUUUCUUUUGUGCUCGUUUUAAGUCUCUCUUUGAUAUAGCAGGCAUUCCUUGGCAGUUGUGUAACAUGAUUUGGGGCAAAAGGAGAGAAAAUGAGAUAGAAAGAAGGCGAGAGAGAGGGAGAAAGAGAGAGAAGAGGGAAAAUGGUUUGUCUUGCUGCGUUUCAUGUCCUGCUGUGCGCUCAUAUUUCUCAGCCCACUUCACAGUUGUGGGGUAGCUGGCUUAUCGUGGGGCUCCUCAGCUCUUUCCAUCAUGCGUGGCCUAACUUAAUCUCUCUUGUGUACUGUAAACUGCACCUAAUAACCCUGCACACGAUUAAAGCAAACAUCUUAAUAAUGGCCUGUCUCAUUAUCAGCUCGCAUUGGGAAAACGAAAGGUUCACUCUUGCCUCUAUAAUGUGGCUCACAAAUAAUCCAGAGAACAAGGCAACCUGCUUAGUUAGUGUCUCAAAGAAAACCAAAAAAAUAACCGCAAGCCUGACGUUUUAAACGGAAUUAUCUGCAUUUUAAGUAAAGCAAAUGUUGCUGAUUAAUGCUGUGCUUGAGCAACGUUUUCUGCACGUCAUGCAGAGACCAGGAGUGAGAUGCAGGAUUGAAUGAAUUGUGUCACUCUAGAGGGUGCUGUUUGCUGAGGAAAUGUGCUUUCCUCCCUUUUUUCCUUUCCUGCAGCUCACACUAAAUUCUGUUCCUCCUGCUUUUUAAACGUGAAGUCUUAAACUUAUCCGACCAGCGUAAAGAAGAUCGUAAUAGAUACAACAACUCACAUUUAGUGGAUAUUUUACGUAUUGUAUGUUUCAGAUCGGACUCGACUCUAAAGGCAAAGGAAGGAAAGGAUUUCGGGGGAAAUAAUAAGUCUUCGAGAGACUGUGUGGUAUUGUGCUGCAAGGCAUGUUUGACGCGAUGUUAGGCCACGUGAAGGAAUCCAAAUUCUCGAGAUGAGAGUUCGACCUUUAAUUGCAUGCUAGCGAUCUUCUGAUGAUCACCAAGAAGGGGCUGAGUAAUGGAAACAUGACCUCAAGAGAUUCAACAGGUAAGAUUCUGUCUUUUGUUUGAUCUUAAAGCCUAGGAGUACGUGAUUACACACAGUGUCGUCUUAUGAGGAGCAGCGACCGUUGCUAUAAACAACCACAGUAUGGUAUGUUGACUAAAUAAACAGAGGAAGAAGUGGUAGUUCACAUAUAUGAGAGAUGUGAUCAGGGUGGUGCCACUGGAUUCAUGCCCGUGUUCUUGCUGUUUUUUUUAUUGUGUAACCCAAGUCAUGACAGCACAGUAAAGAAUGCAGGGACACAGAGAUAUCACUUCAAACACAACUUCUCUCAGGAGCCUCAGAUCCUUUCAGUGGAACUGAAUGAAGAUAUGCUUUGAUGGCCCACCACAGAGUCGGUGGCUUUCAAAGAAACCUGUUGAUGGGAUUGCACAGUGCACCCAGCCAACUGAAUGAGUGGUACUGUAUUUGUGCCUCUCAGGAUACUCCUGGGUGUUCUCAUUGGAGGUCAGAUCUGCUUGACCUCAACAUGAGUAGUCAUUUUCUGUAGAUUUUUUGGCUUGCCUUAUCUUUUUUUUUUCUUCCCUUCCAUCUUGUUCUCUCACCAAAUGGAGAACUGUGUAUGGAUGGCAGGGUGCCAGCAGACAGGUACAGUAGAUGUGCUGAUGAGGGAUGGUGAUAGGGGCAGGCCUCAGUUGCAGCCUCGGGCAGAGAGAGACAUACACAGGCAGGCGUAGACUCAGAGGCAGGUUGAAACCUGGUGCUGUAUGCUGAUGUUUCUCUGCUUGGCUGUGCUCCAGGGUGAGGCAUGUGAGAGAAACGUGGGAAGGGAAAAUCCAGAAUGGAGGCCAGAAGAGAUGCACAAAGUCAGGUAAAGGAAAUCUGUCCUCCUUUCCCUGAUUUUCAAAACUAAAGCCACAAUGAAAAAAAGAAGGGUAGCUAAGAAUGUGUAGUGGUAACAAAAAGUGAGAGCGGGAAUAGGCGCAUGAAGAAAGAGUACAAGAAUGAGGCUAUACUGUACACUGAUGGAACGUGACUACUCACAGGUAAACCAACUCAGAGGUGCAGACAAGCAGAAAGAAGAUAGGAAACAUUGAUAGAUGACUGCUUAUCCUCUGACAUGUUCCUUCCCCGGGCAAAGAACAAGCGGGGCAGGCCCGUCCUGCCACUUUUCUGCCAUAAAACAUGCAGGGUUGAGUGGGUGGUAGACAACGUCAUGUCAUUUUGUGGAGGGUAAAGCAAAGCCUGGGUUGUCAGGAGAGCACCUCUGUGUAUUAUGUCAUCUUAAAAGCAGAUGUUGAAGCCAGAUUAGAUGAGAAUUCAGAAAAUAACUCAGCUGUUCAGCUGCUUAUUAAGCAAUUUGCUUAUAUUUCUAUCUUUAGUCUUAAAGAUGGACUUAUCUUUCUUUUCUUUUAUGAAAAAUAGUUAGCUUCAUUUGCAUGAUUACCUGGCCUGGUACGCUGUAUCCAACAAAGGCAUCUGGAGUUAGCCAACACACCAUAAUGUGAUAAUGAGGCUGUGGAUAAUUCUUCUUCUCAGGCCCAUUUCUUUUGUCAGCAGUUUUUUGAAAAGAGCCAGUUCUGUUCUGCUAAAGUAAUCAGCUGCGCAGUAGUUGAUCAGUUUUGAUGUUUUAUUAAUUUAAUAAUUAUUUGACGUAACUUUAAAAAACGUUGACUCAACAUUUUAAGCAAAACAUUGUUAUAAAGGAUCCAAUACUUAUCUUUUUUUUUCUUAAGCGCGGGUAUGAGAAAUGUCUCAAUAUUCAAGUAAGUGGUUUUGGGCUCCAGUCAGUCAUUAGUUUCUGUAUUAUGUUUCCAGGAUCAUACUAAAUCCUGGUUUGGACUGUUGGACCAGCAUCCUCUGAAGCAGAUGUUUGCUCCUGGCAAGGCUGCCGACAACAUGAGCUCCAACACUGGCAAUCUAGCUCCCAGGAUUCAGUGAGCAGCGUGAGCUUGGAGAAGCUAUGACAUAAACGCAGCAGGACGGUGAAUCGCGUUUUGCUGCUCAGACAUCAUGGAACAGAUCAGUCAGCCCCAUCUGGAGAAAUGCUCUAUAGAAGAGUCAUAUAUUUACCAUAGUUACUUUGAUGGAUACAGCAUGUUGUUUGACUUUAUUUUUCUAAUUGAUUUUAUGAUGAUAAUUUCCCGGCAUCUAUGUAUCUUCUCUUGUUUUGCAGAUUUUAUUUACAGUGUCGCUCAUUCAGUAACUUCAGCAUUUAAUGUGUAAUUUUUGUCAUUUUUGGUAAUGUGACUGUUUUCAAAGUGGCUCUUCUAAAACUGCAUAAGAACGUUUAUCCAGGGAGGAGCACAAAAGAUGUCUCCUACUGUGUAUAAAGACUUAAUGCACAUGUGAUUGAGAUUAAUCAGACGAAUCACUCAAUCAGUGGAUAUGUGAUUUUCAUCUUCGACAAAGAAGCCAUUGUCAUUAAUGUAAAACCAUGAAUUCUCCUUCUUACGCUGCAUUUUAUUGUGACACAUUGGCAGCUUCUGCUAAUUUCAGUUAAUAAUCCUGUCAAGCAGUUUAUUCUCAUUAUGAUUUAUGACUCCAUAGCUUUUGUUGUUUUUGUUAAGCCCUGUUAGCAGAAAUUAAAAGGUGUAUCCAAGCUGCUGUUUGUUUGUGUUGUCAUUCCAGAUACAUGAGAUAAAUGGUUGGAUGUUUCAGUGGUGUUCAUUGUUACGGUUAUUCAUGCUGGCUUCCUUACUAGUUAGGCCAGUAUGUGCUAGUCUAGCAUUUGAGGAAUAAAUGGGGUGUUAUCUUUUUUUUUUUUCUUCAAAGGAAGACAAGGUAAAGGUGAACUUUACAGUAAAAAUGUAAUAUGUUACAUUUAAACUGAAACAGUGAUUUUUAAUAGUUUUAC